GUGGGGUAUGUUGGUGGGGACAGACGAGGAAGGAUGGCGAAGAAAGCGAGGGAAUAGUGUGAUCAUGUUCGAUCGUACAUUAAAGUUUGAGCACAAGCUCAUUGUGGAUUAAAAACUAAGUCUCAUCUUUAAGAUUCAAACAACACAGGUUGUAGAAAUGCAAAUGAUUGGUCAAGAGUAGAAGACCUACCCCUCUCCUGCCACUCCCGACGUCUUGGUCCAUAGGUCGCGUUCCGGGCGGAUGGUGGUGGAAGUUCGGCGUCGUCUGUGCAUCAAAACCUGCAUCCUGACCUGCCUGCCCCUUGGAUUCUCCUACCGCCUAGCCCUGCCUGUACUGUCGCUUUUGUGGACUGAUCACCCGGUAUUCCGACCUGCCUGCCUGUCCCUGGAUUCUCCUACCGUCUGCCCCUGCCUGUACUGUUGCCUUCGCGGACUGAUCACCCGGUAUCGUGACCUGCCUGCCUGCUUCUGGUUUUUCCUCUCUGCCGAGCCCUGCCUGUACCUUUGCCUACGUGGACUGAUCUCCUGAUUUCUGAACCUUACUGCCUGUCUCUACUGUUUUUGCUCCUGCCGGCUCCCCUGUACAUCAAAAUCGACAGUAGCGUUUCUGCAAUUGGAACCACACAGCCCCGUCCUCGGUGUUCAUUACAUACAUACACUCUACUGUGUCUCCAGGAUGUAUAUGAAGUUCCAUCCUUUCUUCUACACCACCACAGACUAGUAGGGGCCUGGUGAUAGAGGGGUGUUACAUACACUCCAGCAUGCUGAGGGACUACAACAAAAUGGUUCCAGUAAAAUAACUACAACCCCAAGAUGCAGCCAGACAAGAGGGAAUGGCUGAACGGGCAUACCAGGUGUAAACAGGUUAAUCAGAGCAUGUUAGGUGUGUUUUUUUAUUAGGAAGGUGGCACCAUGUUGCAUUUUGUUUAGCUCUUUAGUUGUUUUGUUAAAGAAAGAAAGCAAUGAUUUGUAUUUUGUUCUGAGUCACCUUUGUUUACUUGUUGGAAGAAAUAAAUGGACA
This is a long non-coding RNA of Esox lucius (northern pike), 1021 nucleotides long. The record is from Ensembl. Lineage: Eukaryota; Metazoa; Chordata; Actinopteri; Esociformes; Esocidae.